RNAcentral lists this ribosomal RNA (433 nucleotides) under uncultured bacterium. RNAcentral's name for it is "partial 16S ribosomal RNA". It matches the Rfam family "Bacterial small subunit ribosomal RNA", at positions 29 to 507 of the family's 1533-position model. The record is from RNAcentral.
AACGAACGCUGGCGGCAUGCCUAACACAUGCAAGUCGAACGAGACCUUCGGGUCUAGUGGCGCACGGGUGCGUAACGCGUGGGAACCUGCCUUUAGGUUCGGAAUACCUCAGAGAAAUUUGAGCUAAUACCGGAUGAUGUCUUCGGACCAAAGAUUUAUCGCCUUUAGAUGGGCCCGCGUGGGAUUAGCUCGUUGGUGGGGUAAAGGCCUACCAAGGCGUCGAUCCAUAGCUGGUCUGAGAGGAUGAGCAGCCACACUGGGACUGAGACACGGCCCAGACUCCUACGGGAGGCAGCAGUGGGGAAUAGUGGACAAUGGGCGAAAGCCUGAUGCAGCAAGGCCGCGUGAGUGAUGAAGGCAGUAGGGUUGUAAAGCUCUUUUAACCGAGAUGAUAAUGACAGUACCGGGAGAAUAAGCUCCGGCUAACUCCGUG